This 1980-nucleotide long non-coding RNA is filed under the name Coffea arabica (coffee). RNAcentral describes it as "long non-coding RNA (CARA_LNC001214)". The record is from RNAcentral. Lineage: Eukaryota; Viridiplantae; Streptophyta; Magnoliopsida; Gentianales; Rubiaceae.
AAAAAAAAAAAAAAGAACGUAAGGACUAUUCCUAUUGAAACCAGUUUUCUUAUAAUAUUUGAGGGAUCUGAACAAGAUCCAAAGUCUAGAUACGUCGUUUAAGAUGGCUUGAUCCCUUCAAUGAAAUUUGACUUGGGCUAUACUGCAGGUGCAAAAGGUUUUCCAGUGGCGGUAACUUGAGAUGCUGGGUUCCACCUAAGCUACUUGCACUCUUAUGUUAGUAUUAACUUCUCAAGAACUAAUUCUACCAUUUCAUUCCUUUAAAAAUCAAGCAUUGAUUGAUGUUAUUAUCUUCUAAGAAUUGAAUUUUAAUAACUCUUUUUAUGCUGUACAUUAUUCAUAUUUGCUGUGCUUUGGACUCAGCAAGGCUUGGCAUAAAAUCAGUAACGUGGAAUGAAAAACGCUGUUGACUAAGGCCUGAUGGUAGCUCACUGUUUUUUGCUCACAAGACACACUAUGAAUAGCUAAGGCAAGGCAUCUUUUCAGCAACCUUUGCUAUAUUAUCUAAGAUUAUGCAAUGAGGAUAUGGAUCCCAAGAUUUAGGUCUUAAAUUGUCCCAGUUCAAGUCAUCCUUUGCAGCUGGACAAGAAAAAGUAGGAAAACUUUUUUACUUGGGGGAAUCUGUCUGGGCUCUUUCAAAAGGAAGACUCUUGCACUUUAAUUCCAAAAUGAGAAGGUUAAGGUACAAGUCUGUGUGAGUGCAAUGCUUUCUGCAUCGGUUAAUUCUCAUUGGGCAAUUCAUUGUCUGAUGUCAUUUCUUCAUAUGGUCAAAGGCAAUUCUAAGUCUAGUUUGAGAGUCUACAUUCACAUUGGUGAGUCCCUGGAAAAUAUAUGAGAAGGACAGAUAGAGUCUCUUGAGGCUUAGAGCUCUCGCAGAAGCUGCAUGAAAGAUGAUUCUAGCUGGCUACAGGGAUUUUCACUCAUGAGGUACUUCUCUUUGUGAUGAAGUUAUACUGAUUCAAGAAAACUUAUUUGAUUUUCACCGCCACUUCUGAUCUAUUUGUGAUUUCAUCAUAUUUUCAUAAUCAAUAGAAUCAAAGAGGUCUUCAUGAUUGCCAUGUAUUUUAAACUUGUGAAAUUGUGAAUCCCAUUGUUUACAAGGUAAAUUACAAGGUAAUGAACAGACAGAUGGAAAAGCCAAUACAUGGGAAAACUCCUGGUUGGAUUUUUAAGUAAUCAUAUGUCCUUACUCUUCUAAUCAAGCAUAUACUUCUGAAUCUGCUGCUUUCAUUUUUUGGAGUGUAAUUAUUAUUGCUCUUAACCUUGUGAUGAUCAAAAUGCCUUAUCGCCUUGUUUUUCUCCAUUUAGAUGACAAAUGCUGCAAAUGAGGCUUGUCAGCCCUUUCAAUGAAGGACGAGGGGCCUGGACGGUUGUCACGGCCUAGAUGAGGCAGUUCACGGCCUAGAUGAGGCCUCAAGAAUUUGUGCGGCUCAGAUCACGUCUUGUAACUCGAUUUUCACGCCGUGUGGGACCCACAAAAAUGUUGUUCUAAUGUUACUCGCUGUUGUUCUAUUGUUACACCUUGUACAGAUGAUGUUACAUCAUGUAUAAAUGGUGUUACACCUUCCGGAGCGGUUGUCAACCCCGCGUCCUUCAAUGAAAUAUAGCCUGAUCGAAUUGAGAAGCAUUCGUCUGAAGGGUUCUAAGUUGGCACAUCUGAAAUGCUUGAGUAGUAACUUUCCCACCAAACCAUUAGAAGACUCCCUAUGGGAUGUGAAUCUUCUUAUCUGAACGGAAGAUGAUGUCAGGAGGGCAGCUGCCCCAACAUUGAGUGGUGUAAGAGUUCAAAGCUUUUUGUACCUUGUGAUUUAUCAUUUUUUAAUUGGAUACAAAGUUGUCAUAAUUUGCUCAAAUUCUAAGGAACUCUGGUCUACAGCUGUCUCAUUCCCUGUUUAACUGAUCUUUAGAUACAGGCUCUGAAGAGAUUUCACAUGGCCACUUGUACAUAUCAUAUAUUUAUCAGAUUAUCAUCUGCUUCAG